This is a non-coding RNA of Cucurbita pepo subsp. pepo (vegetable marrow), 229 nucleotides long. NCBI's taxonomy places the organism in Eukaryota, Viridiplantae, Streptophyta, Magnoliopsida, Cucurbitales, Cucurbitaceae. The record is from RefSeq and is a predicted model, not a curated record.
AUAUCUNUACCAGUGUGUUUUUCUCCUUAUUCAUCCUACCAUUGAGGUGGUGGAGACUAGUUCACAUUGCUGUGGACAUUUUGGUUACAAGAACUCUACCCGUAAGAUCCAGUUCUCUUGCGUUAAUUUCUUGUUUUUUCCAUUUUUUUUUCCAAAAGAUAUCUUAUCCAUAGGUUGUUGAUUGUUAAAUUGAAUCAUGAAUCACAUUCAAAAUAGUAAAUUCAGCUCU